RNAcentral lists this unclassified non-coding RNA (221 nucleotides) under uncultured Actinomycetes bacterium. Its description in RNAcentral is "uncultured actinobacterium contains 16S-23S intergenic spacer region". Lineage: Bacteria; Bacillati; Actinomycetota; Actinomycetes. The record is from RNAcentral.
UCCGAGUUAACCCCGGCAGUCUCCCGCGAGUCCCCAACACCACUUGCUGGCAACACGGGAUAAGGGUUGCGCUCGUUGCGGGACUUAACCCAACAUCUCACGACACGAGCUGACGACAGCCAUGCACCACCUGUCACCCAGUCCGAAGAGGGCCCCAUCUCUGAGGCUUUCCGGGUGAUGUCAAACCCAGGUAAGGUGGGGAUGACGUGUAGGAGCUCGAC